This 447-nucleotide long non-coding RNA is filed under the name Homo sapiens (human). Its description in RNAcentral is "non-protein coding lnc-SLC24A3-1:15". The record is from RNAcentral. Lineage: Eukaryota; Metazoa; Chordata; Mammalia; Primates; Hominidae.
AUCUCCUCUGCGAGCUCAGGAAGGUGGCUGGGGGAGGGGGAUGGCUCCCUACUGCCGAGGGACGGCCCGAGGCAAACACAAAGCCCUUCCCUCCCCUCCUCCUCUUUCCUCUCCUCUCCCCUCCCCUCCCCUCCUUUCUCCCCCUUCCUCCUCUUCCUCCUCCUCCUCUUGCUCCUCCCGGGCGGGGAAACCCAGCCCCGCGCUCGUCUUUGGGGCCACCGGUCGCCCCCGCCUCCGGGACCUGCGGGGAGGGCCCGCGAGAGAUGGAGACGAGAGAUCUGGACUUCUGAACAUCUACCGGAAAAGAUAAAAUGUGCAAGCCCUUCAGAACGCUGGGGAGGUUGGGCUGAACUGCAGUGGGAGAGGAGAAGAGAUGCUGGCGUGAAGGGGUAAUUCAUUAUUGAGAAAGCAAUUUAUGCUAGUUAAGAGAAGGCCUAUAAUGAGGCA